Molecule: ribosomal RNA, 626 nt
Filed under: uncultured crenarchaeote
Lineage: Archaea; Thermoproteati; Thermoproteota
Description: bacterial SSU rRNA
Rfam family: Archaeal small subunit ribosomal RNA
Source: RNAcentral
AGGCGCUAAGCUGCGAGUCACAUAGCGGUAUGUGGCUUACGGCUCAGUAACACGUAGUCCACAUGCCCAGGGGACGUGCAUAACCUCGGGAAACUGAGGAUAAACCGCGAUAGGUCAUCACUUCUGGAAUGGGUAAUGACUUAAAUCUAUAUGGCCCCUGGAUUGGACUGCGGCCGAUCAGGCUGUUGGUGAGGUAAUGGCCCACCAAACCUGUAACCGGUACGGGCUCUGAGAGGAGGAGCCCGGAGAUGGGCACUGAGACAAGGGCCCAGGCCCUAUGGGGCGCAGCAGGCGCGAAACCUCUGCAAUAGGCGAAAGCCUGACAGGGUUACUCUGAGUGACUUUCGCUAACACAGUCUUUUGACACCUCUAAAAAUGGUGUAGAAUAAGGGGUGGGCAAGUCUGGUGUCAGCCGCCGCAGUAAUACCAGCACCCCGAGUGGUCGGGACGAUUAUUGGGCCUAAAGCAUCCGUAGCCGGUUUUACAAGUCCUCCGUUAAAUCCAGCUGCUUAACAGAUGGGCUGCGGAGGAUACUAUAAGACUAGGAGGCAGGAGAGGCAAGCGGUACUCACUGGGUAGGGGUAAAAUCCGUUGAUCCAUUGAAGACCACCACUGGCGAAGCGGCU